GGCUUUGUCAUUCCAAAAUGAGUAAGAAAAGGGAGGUAAGACUUGGACAAAGAGUUUAAAAUGGCAUCUUUCUCUAAUUGCUCAUGCAGAGAAAAAUCGAGCUUGCUUAAGUGCUCAAUCAUCUUGAUUAUGUACAGUACAUGAUCGGUGACUGACGCUCCUCUCAUUCGAGCGUUGAAGAUGACACAACUAGUCUUGUGCCUCUCAACA
RNAcentral lists this long non-coding RNA (210 nucleotides) under Elaeis guineensis (African oil palm). Its description in RNAcentral is "long non-coding RNA (EGUI_LNC077485)". Lineage: Eukaryota; Viridiplantae; Streptophyta; Magnoliopsida; Arecales; Arecaceae. The record is from RNAcentral.